RNAcentral lists this ribosomal RNA (291 nucleotides) under Salmonella enterica subsp. enterica. RNAcentral's name for it is "partial 16S ribosomal RNA". It matches the Rfam family "Bacterial small subunit ribosomal RNA", at positions 865 to 1156 of the family's 1533-position model. The record is from RNAcentral. RNAcentral also lists the same sequence under 1 other name. Lineage: Bacteria; Pseudomonadati; Pseudomonadota; Gammaproteobacteria; Enterobacterales; Enterobacteriaceae.
UAGACCGCCUGGGGAGUACGGCCGCAAGGUUAAAACUCAAAUGAAUUGACGGGGGCCCGCACAAGCGGUGGAGCAUGUGGUUUAAUUCGAUGCAACGCGAAGAACCUUACCUGGUCUUGACAUCCACAGAACUUUCCAGAGAUGGACUGGUGCCUUCGGGAACUGUGAGACAGGUGCUGCAUGGCUGUCGUCAGCUCGUGUUGUGAAAUGUUGGGUUAAGUCCCGCAACGAGCGCAACCCUUAUCCUUUGUUGCCAGCGAUUAGGUCGGGAACUCAAAGGAGACUGCCAGU